RNAcentral lists this ribosomal RNA (468 nucleotides) under uncultured bacterium. Its description in RNAcentral is "partial 16S ribosomal RNA". It matches the Rfam family "Bacterial small subunit ribosomal RNA", at positions 28 to 507 of the family's 1533-position model. The record is from RNAcentral.
GACGAACGCUGGCGGCGUGCUUAACACAUGCAAGUCGAACGGAAAGGCCCUGCUUUUGUGGGGUGCUCGAGUGGCGAACGGGUGAGUAACACGUGAGUAACCUGCCCUUGACUUUGGGAUAACUUCAGGAAACUGGGGCUAAUACCGGAUAGGAGCUCCUGCUGCAUGGUGGGGGUUGGAAAGUUUCGGCGGUUGGGGAUGUACUCGCGGCUUAUCAGCUUGUUGGUGGGGUAGUGGCUUACCAAGGCUUUGACGGGUAGCCGGCCUGAGAGGGGGAACGGGGACAUGGGGACUGAGGUACGGCCCAGACUGCUACGGUGGGCAGCAGUGGGGAACAUGGCACAAUGGGGGGAAGCCUGAGGAAGCAGCGCCGCGUGUGGGAUGACGGCCUUCGGGUGGGAAACCGCUUUCGCCUGUGACGAAGCGGGAGUGACGGUAAUGGGUAAAGAAGCACCGGCUAACUACGUG